GAAAUGCGAUAAGUAGUGUGAAUUGCAGAAUUCAGUGAAUCAUCGAAUCUUUGAACGCACAUUGCGCUCUCGGGUAUUCCUGGGAGCAUGCCUGUUUGAGAAUUGGAACAUUCUCUACCUACACCCUUGGGUGUUUCAAGGUAGGAUUUGAGCUAUCCCAGGCGAAAAUAACUUUUCGAAACUGGGUGACUUGAAAUGAAUGGUUUGGCUGGGAUACUAAGAUCCAAUUGGCUGACAAGCGUGACAAGAACUUUUGGGAUCCUUCCGAGGUGACCAAGUUUCAGACCGCUGACUCACAAGUUGGUAAUUAAACUUAGUUUAUCUCAUCGCCUUCUUCCAAAUUUAUUACGUGGUUAAGACUUUGGUUUUAGCCCUGAAUCUCAAUCUCAAAUCAGGCAAG
This 400-nucleotide unclassified non-coding RNA is filed under the name uncultured fungus. Its description in RNAcentral is "sequence contains ITS1". The stretch from base 1 to 105 matches the Rfam family "5.8S ribosomal RNA", at positions 50 to 154 of the family's 154-position model. The record is from RNAcentral. Lineage: Eukaryota; Fungi.